CUCGGCCCGGCCGCCCUCGGCGGGGGGCGAGGGGGGGGGAGGGGGGUGGGGGGCGGGGGGCAGAGGGGGGCGGGCCUGGGGGUGGCCCUGGGUGGAGGAGACACCAGCCUGGGGUGGGGAAAGGGCCCGCCCUUGCUUGCAGGAAACCCAGGGCUUAUGUUUCCUAGUUUAUCAGCAACAACAAAAAAGUCACUGCUGAUGCUUGAGAGGGGAUGAUAAAACAGUUUCACCAGCGCCGGUACACGUGGACAGGACCCCGGAGCGGGGCGGGCCCGACCCAGGAGGGGGGCAGACCUGAGGCAGGAGGGAGGGGGACACAGCCCUGGGGGGGCACAGCCCUGGAGGGGGCUGUCUGGGAGCUCACCCUGUGCCCACCUGACACUGCCUGGGGCUCUUCCUGUGGAAAGAACUUAUUUUUCUCUAAUUAGAGGAAAAAUAAAAACCUAUGCCUGAGGGACUAAAAAACACAGCAGACAGCAGAAAGAGAGAGGUGGCAGGGCCUCCCCACACCAGGCCGAGUGGCAGCCCCAGAGGCCGAGCGAGGCUGCCUGUCCCCGACCCCCUCCCCCAGGGGCUCACCCAGCACCGCCCUCCCUGCACCCCCCUCCUGCCCUGGCACCACGGAGAGUGGGCAGUGCCUGCACGUGCAUCCCCGCACCGUGGGCCCCAAGAGGGGAGGCCACACCGGAGAAGGGCUGGGUGCCUAUGGCGGAGGGGGCCUGCCAGCCCCUCCCACUACGUCUCGGCAGGGAAAAAAAACCGCGUAACAGGUGCUGAGCAUGUCACUUUGUGUCUGCGUGUUAACAGGAAACACGUCCAGAAAGGACAGGGCCCAGAUUUUAACACAGAGUACUGCAACCAGGGAGCUGGGAUCGCUGGGGACUUUCAAUUUUUCAGUUUAAACACUUGAACGAUUCCAUUCUUACGGCUUCCUUAACCACUAAUGAUCGUUAACAAUCAACAGGAGCAAAUAUGUAAACACAAAAAAGGAGUAAACACGUAGACUCGGCCCCAAAUUCCCAGCGGCUUUCUGGCAGAGGAAUGGUGGGGUGGACGCGCGGCCUGCAAAGGGCGACGCUGACAAGCCCCAGGUCCCAGGAAGCCAGGAGCCCCCAGGCCUGCACCGUGUCCUUGGAACCCGCCUCGUGGACCACGUGUGCGCCAGGGAGGACCCCGAGCAUGCCGCCUGAACCCACACGCACACCCAGGCAGGCACACAGUCUGCUCGGGAGGAGCAUGCGAGACUGUGACCCGGGGGUCCAGAGGGUCGCGGCUCCUCGGCUCCCCCGUCCCCCAGCUGGGAGCGACCCCCCCCCCC
This 1318-nucleotide long non-coding RNA is filed under the name Ovis aries (sheep). RNAcentral's name for it is "lncRNA (ENSOARG00000025703.1)". The record is from RNAcentral. Lineage: Eukaryota; Metazoa; Chordata; Mammalia; Artiodactyla; Bovidae.